UUCCAUCUCCUUUCCUUGUAAAAGUAACCCCGGCACCCCAUGGGGAAAUGCUGUGUCUAAUGAAGCCACUGUUUUGUAGCUCAGUGAUUUGUUUCCUUAGCUCUUCCAUUUCGAUGCGGCUCAUUCGGUAAGGAGCUACCGAGAUGGGUUGGGUUCCUGGCUAUAAGUCUAUGGUGAACUCGACCUCCCUGUCCCUUGGUAGACCGGGCAGUUCAUCCGAAAAUACGUCUGGAAAGUCUCGGACUACUGGAAUCUCUUGGAUACAAACUUUCUUCUUGGGUUUACCUAGUUAGGGAAAAUACAAUAUCAACGCACUGAGAAUUAAGAAGAAAAGAAUUUGUCAUUAGG
RNAcentral lists this long non-coding RNA (348 nucleotides) under Carica papaya (papaya). RNAcentral describes it as "long non-coding RNA (CPAP_LNC011789)". The record is from RNAcentral. Lineage: Eukaryota; Viridiplantae; Streptophyta; Magnoliopsida; Brassicales; Caricaceae.